UGCAGACAGUGGUUCUCUGGUCCUUACAGGAUUCCUCCCAGCUUUUACUGAGUCAAAAGUUCCAUUCUCUUUUUAGCAGCAGGAAGGGAAAAAAAAAUAUCACAGUGACUCAAAACAAAGCAAUUUAACUGUGCUUCAUUAGUGGCGUGUUUUGAGCCCACAGCACUGAAGAUAUCUGGGCUGUUCCACAUCCAGAACUGUCAUCAGGGCUGAUCUUGGCCUUGUCAUUUUGGUUUCAGAAUCACCUUGCGGUGACAAAUGACACAUUACUUUGAGUCCUAAUUUUAGAUUAAGGAAUAACCACAAACUCACUAAAUUAAAAAGAAGUACCCUAUUGGUUUGGGUGAGGAGUUAAAAUUUCUCAGCUAGGUAGGUGGUGGGAUAAAGGUUAGGCUAAAAUGAAAAUUAUCAACAUCAACUCAUAAAAAGCAUGGGUGUGUGUAUUAUUAUUAUCAUCUUAUAAUUCUACCUCUAAAGUGGCCUAACAGCAACUUUCAUACUCAGAAGAAAUGACCAGAUGCGCCCCUGAGAAUUUGUCCUUAAUUUUCACUAAAAAGGAUUUUUAUCUCAAAACACAUCACCCCACAGUCUCAUCUCGAGGCCCCGACUGCUGCAUUAAUGACAAUUAAGCCCCAGGGGAAAUAAUAACCUCACUGGGGGUUCACCGGAGCUGGAAAGGAAGGCAGAGCAAGUCAAGCUGCCCACGGGUUCCCCACCACCACCCCGAGAAACCCACACCUGGGGCGCCCCAGUCUGUGCUCCUAAUGCUGCUUCCUCCGUUAGGGAAAGAAGAUUCCAGGAGGCCUUCAGGCUAGUGGGCAUUACGGCCCUCUUGGCACCUGCCCUUGCUUGGGGGAAAGGCAGCCUGGGAAGAAGGAAAGGGUGGUGAAGGGAGAUAUUGCAGACGAAGAAAACCUCGAAGAGACAGAACUUGACUUGGACUAGGCGUUUAGCUGAGCUUAGUGUGGUGAAUAUUUGGACAGUGUUACUACCUGGAGGUCAGCUAGGAGCCCUCCGCCUUCCUGCCAAGACUUCCGAGCUGAGACUCCACCAUGGAACUAGGACCAGCGGACACCUGGUAACCGCUGUGAAACGUCACCAGUAGAUGUUAAACAGGUGCU
Ictidomys tridecemlineatus (thirteen-lined ground squirrel) is the source of this 1121-nucleotide non-coding RNA. Lineage: Eukaryota; Metazoa; Chordata; Mammalia; Rodentia; Sciuridae. The record is from RefSeq and is a predicted model, not a curated record.